AUACGAAGGGUGCAAGCGUUAAUCGGAAUCACUGGGCGUAAAGCGCGCGCAGGCGGUCUUUUAAGUUGGAUGUGAAAGCCUACGGCUCAACCGUAGAACUGCAUCCAAAACUAUUAGACUAGAGUGUGGGAGAGGAAGAUGGAAUUAGUUGUGUAGGGGUAAAAUCCGUAGAGAUAACUAGGAAUACCAAAAGCGAAGGCAAUCUUCUGGAACACUACUGACGCUGAGGCGCGAAAGCGUGGGGAGCUAACAGGAUUAGAAACCCUAGUAGUCC
Molecule: ribosomal RNA, 274 nt
Filed under: uncultured bacterium
Lineage: Bacteria
Description: partial 16S ribosomal RNA
Rfam family: Bacterial small subunit ribosomal RNA
Source: RNAcentral